CCUACGGGAGGCAGCAGUGGGGGAUAUUGCGCAAUGGGGGAAACCCUGACGCAGCAACGCCGCGUGAAGGAAGAAGGCCUUCGGGUUGUAAACUUCUUUGAUUGGGGACGAAGGAAGUGACGGUACCCAAAGAACAAGCCACGGCUAACUACGUGCCAGCAGCCGCGGUAAU
Molecule: ribosomal RNA, 172 nt
Filed under: uncultured bacterium
Lineage: Bacteria
Description: partial 16S ribosomal RNA
Rfam family: Bacterial small subunit ribosomal RNA
Source: RNAcentral